Molecule: long non-coding RNA, 202 nt
Filed under: Gossypium raimondii (Peruvian cotton)
Lineage: Eukaryota; Viridiplantae; Streptophyta; Magnoliopsida; Malvales; Malvaceae
Description: long non-coding RNA (GRAI_LNC005918)
Source: RNAcentral
CUUGAACCAAAGCUUGGAAUAUUUUCCUAGCUCUGCUCUCUAUUAUUAUGGAUUCUUCUUUUAGCUGCAUUUUUCAUUCACCCAUGCAACUCUAAACUAGAAAAUAUCAGACAUUUUACUACAACAAGUAGUUAGGUGACAUUAAAACAGAAUGUUAUAAGCUGAAAAAUAAAAACAUGAAGGCAACUAAGAGCGACGAGGA